UUGAACGCUGGCGGCAUGCCUUACACAUGCAAGUCGAACGGCAGCACGGGUGCUUGCACCUGGUGGCGAGUGGCGAACGGGUGAGUAAUACAUCGGAACAUGUCCUGUAGUGGGGGAUAGCCCGGCGAAAGCCGGAUUAAUACCGCAUACGAUCUACGGAUGAAAGCGGGGGACCUUCGGGCCUCGCGCUAUAGGGUUGGCCGAUGGCUGAUUAGCUAGUUGGUGGGGUAAAGGCCUACCAAGGCGACGAUCAGUAGCUGGUCUGAGAGGACGACCAGCCACACUGGGACUGAGACACGGCCCAGACUCCUACGGGAGGCAGCAGUGGGGAAUUUUGGACAAUGGGCGAAAGCCUGAUCCAGCAAUGCCGCGUGUGUGAAGAAGGCCUUCGGGUUGUAAAGCACUUUUGUCCGGAAAGAAAUCCUUGGCUCUAAUACAGUCGGGGGAUGACGGUACCGGAAGAAUAAGCACCGGCUAACUACGUGCCAGCAGCCGCGGUAAUACGUAGGGUGCGAGCGUUAAUCGGAAUUACUGGGCGUAAAGCGUGCGCAGGCGGUUUGCUAAGACCGAUGUGAAAUCCCCGGGCUCAACCUGGGAACUGCAUUGGUGACUGGCAGGCUAGAGUAUGGCAGAGGGGGGUAGAAUUCCACGUGUAGCAGUGAAAUGCGUAGAGAUGUGGAGGAAUACCGAUGGCGAAGGCAGCCCCCUGGGCCAAUACUGACGCUCAUGCACGAAAGCGUGGGGAGCAAACAGGAUUAGAUACCCUGGUAGUCCACGCCCUAAACGAUGUCAACUAGUUGUUGGGGAUUCAUUUCCUUAGUAACGUAGCUAACGCGUGAAGUUGACCGCCUGGGGAGUACGGUCGCAAGAUUAAAACUCAAAGGAAUUGACGGGGACCCGCACAAGCGGUGGAUGAUGUGGAUUAAUUCGAUGCAACGCGAAAAACCUUACCUACCCUUGACAUGGUCGGAAUCCCGCUGAGAGGUGGGAGUGCUCGAAAGAGAACCGGCGCACAGGUGCUGCAUGGCUGUCGACAGCUCGUGUCGUGAGAUGUUGGGUUAAGUCCCGCAACGAGCGCAACCCUUGUCCUUAGUUGCUACGCAAGAGCACUCUAAGGAGACUGCCGGUGACAAACCGGAGGAAGGUGGGGAUGACGUCAAGUCCCCAUGGCCCUUAUGGGUAGGGCUUCACACGUCAUACAAUGGUCGGAACAGAGGGUUGCCAACCCGCGAGGGGGAGCUAAUCCCAGAAAACCGAUCGUAGUCCGGAUUGCACUCUGCAACUCGAGUGCAUGAAGCUGGAAUCGCUAGUAAUCGCGGAUCAGCAUGCCGCGGUGAAUACGUUCCCGGGUCUUGUACACACCGCC
RNAcentral lists this ribosomal RNA (1366 nucleotides) under uncultured beta proteobacterium. Its description in RNAcentral is "bacterial SSU rRNA". It matches the Rfam family "Bacterial small subunit ribosomal RNA", at positions 29 to 1394 of the family's 1533-position model. Lineage: Bacteria; Pseudomonadati; Pseudomonadota; Betaproteobacteria. The record is from RNAcentral.